RNAcentral lists this ribosomal RNA (484 nucleotides) under uncultured bacterium. Its description in RNAcentral is "partial 16S ribosomal RNA". It matches the Rfam family "Bacterial small subunit ribosomal RNA", at positions 30 to 507 of the family's 1533-position model. The record is from RNAcentral.
AUUGAACGCUGGCGGCAGGCCUAACACAUGCAAGUCGAGCGCAUGAAUGGAGCUGGCUCCUGGAUUCAGCGGCGGACGGGUGAGUAAUGCCUAUGAAUCUGCCUGGUCUCGGGGGAUAACGUCCUGAAACGGGCGCUAAUACCACGUACGACGUGAGGGCGGAAAUGGGUGAUCUUCGGACCGCUUGCUAUCAGAUUAGGCUAGGUCGCAUUAGCUAGUAGGAGGGAUAACUGACUACCAAGGCGACGCUCCGUAACUGGUCUGAGAGGAUGAUCAGUCACACUGGAACAGAGGCACGGUACAGACACCUACGGGAGGAAGCAGUGGGGAAUAUUGGACAAUGGGCGAGAGCCUGAUACAGGCAUGCCGCGGGUGUGAAGAAGGUCUUCGGAUUGUAAAGCACUUUAAGUUGGGAGGAAGGGAAGUAAGUUAAUACGUUGCUGUUUUGACGGUACCAACAGAAUAAGCACCGGCUAACUUCGUG